GACGAACGCUGGCGGCGUGCUUAACACAUGCAAGUCGAACGGAAAGGCCCUGCUUUUGUGGGGUGCUCGAGUGGCGAACGGGUGAGUAACAAGUGAGUAACCUGCCCUUGACUUUGGGAUAACUUCAGGAAACUGGGGCUAAUACCGGAUAGGAGCUCCUGCUGCAUGGUGGGGGUUGGAAAGUUUCGGCGGUUGGGGAUGGACUCGCGGCUUAUCAGCUUGUUGGUGGGGUAGUGGCUUACCAAGGCUUUGACGGGUAGCCGGCCUGAGAGGGUGACCGGCCACAUUGGGACUGAGAUACGGCCCAGACUCCUACGGGAGGCAGCAGUGGGGAAUCUUGCACAGUGGGCGGAAGCCUGAUGCAGCAACGCCGCGUGCGGGAUGACGGCCUUCGGGUUGUAAACUGCUUUCGCCUGUGACGAAGCGUGAGUGACGGUAAUGGGUAAAGAAGCACCGGCUAACUACGUG
Molecule: ribosomal RNA, 468 nt
Filed under: uncultured bacterium
Lineage: Bacteria
Description: partial 16S ribosomal RNA
Rfam family: Bacterial small subunit ribosomal RNA
Source: RNAcentral